GACGAACGCUGGCGGCGUGCCUAAUACAUGCAAGUAGAACGCUGAAGGAGGAGCUUGCUUCUCUGGAUGAGUUGCGAACGGGUGAGUAACGCGUAGGUAACCUGCCUGGUAGCGGGGGAUAACUAUUGGAAACGAUAGCUAAUACCGCAUAAGAGUAGAUGUUGCAUGACAUUUGCUUAAAAGGUGCAAUUGCAUCACUACCAGAUGGACCUGCGUUGUAUUAGCUAGUUGGUGGGGUAACGGCUCACCAAGGCGACGGUACAUAGCCGACCUGAGAGGGUGGUCGGCCACACUGGGACUGGGACCAGGCCCAGACUCCUACGGGAGGGAGCAGUAGGGGAACUUCGGCAAUGGACGGAAGUCUGACCGAGCAACGCCGCGUGGGGGGAGAAGGUUUUCGGAUCGGAAAGCUCUGUUGUAAGAGAAGAACGAGUGUGAGAGUGGAAAGUUCACACUGUGACGGUAUCUUACCAAAAAGCAACGGCUAACUACGUG
Molecule: ribosomal RNA, 495 nt
Filed under: uncultured bacterium
Lineage: Bacteria
Description: partial 16S ribosomal RNA
Rfam family: Bacterial small subunit ribosomal RNA
Source: RNAcentral